UGCGUAGGCGGAUUAAUAAGUCAGUGGUGAAAACCUGCAGCUUAACUGUAGACUUGCCAUUGAUACUGUUAGUCUUGAGUACGGUCAAGGUAGGCGGAAUGCGUAAUGUAGCGGUGAAAUGCUUAGAUAUUACACAGAACACCGAUUGCGAAGGCAGCUUACUGGGCCAUUACUGACGCUGAGGCACGAAAGCGUGGGGAGCGAACAGGAUUAGAUACCCUGGUAGUCC
This 229-nucleotide ribosomal RNA is filed under the name uncultured bacterium. RNAcentral's name for it is "partial 16S ribosomal RNA". It matches the Rfam family "Bacterial small subunit ribosomal RNA", at positions 568 to 796 of the family's 1533-position model. The record is from RNAcentral.